Molecule: non-coding RNA, 65 nt
Organism: Dipodomys ordii (Ord's kangaroo rat)
Lineage: Eukaryota; Metazoa; Chordata; Mammalia; Rodentia; Heteromyidae
Source: Rfam
GGUGGCUCAGUGGUAGAGUGCUUGCCUUGAAUGCAUGAGGUCCUGGGUUCAAUUCCUCAGCACCA